Panonychus citri (citrus red mite) is the source of this 2581-nucleotide long non-coding RNA. RefSeq lists it as uncharacterized. NCBI's taxonomy places the organism in Eukaryota, Metazoa, Arthropoda, Arachnida, Trombidiformes, Tetranychidae. The record is from RefSeq and is a predicted model, not a curated record. The transcript has 3 exons.
UUAAACUCACAAAAAUUGAAAAUUAAAAACAACCGAUGACCUUAAAUGUCCAUUAGAGUCUUAAUUGAGGUGACAAAUUGUAUUUAAAAUAUUUUACAAUUUAGAAUAAACCAAAAAAAAAGAGAAGAACUAAUUAAAUGUAUAAUUAAUCAUAAACAAAGGAAAACAAAUUGUGAAUUCAAAGUUCACAUUGAAAUGGAACAAAAUUGUAGGCGGAUUUUUAUUAUUACCUUUUCCCUUUUUCGAUCCCUUUUGUCUAAACGUGUUUGUGGUUUUAAGAAUUAAAUUGUCACAAAAUUGAUUGUUUACUAUUUUUUUUUAAUUGUCAAUUUAAUACCAACGUGUGUGUUUUGAACUGAUCAUCUGAUUGAUAUAAAAUAAUAAUGAAUAGGAUAAGAAUUUUUGAUGAAAAAAUCAAUUGAAAUCUCCUUGGAGGUUUGAAAACAAAUGAAUCAAUGAUCACAUUUUGUUGACUGAAUUGCUUUUCUAAUUAUUGUUUUAAUUUUCUUAUUCAUUUCUAAUACGACAUUUGGUCACUAAUUAAAUUGUUUACCAAAGAGUCGCCAAUGUUUUGUUUGAUUUGUUCUUUUGUGAAACUUUUAAAUUGUAACGUUUUUAUCCUCUAAUUGUGAUUAAUUAACUUUACUUUUCUAAUUAGAUUUUAUCGAUUACGUGAUCGAAUAUCAGUGUGGGUUGGAAUCCUUGGCUUACCUGAUUUUCUUUUUUCGAAAUCCUUGAUAAAUCUUCUUUUCUCUUUGGUCUGAUUAAUAAUCUUCAUAAAGGAUCAUCAAAUUGGACAAAGUUGGAGAAUUGGUUUUGCUUGUAAACAAAAAUUAUCUUGAUUGUCUAGUAUCAAGUUUCCACAUUGGAAUAUUUUAUUAUUUCUACUUCGUUAAUUGAACCCUCGUUUAAGGUUUAAUAUCAUUUGGAUGGGUGAACCUGAAUUACGAUUUAAUCUUUAAAUCUACUAACUAUUGCAAAGAUGAAUCGUGAAUAUUUGUUAUUAUAUUACAUGAAUCUCUUUGAUUUUAGAUGAUCAUCAGUUGGCUUGUGAAUCUUGUACAUGAUUGAUUUAGAGGGAGAGAGAACUUGAAUUGGUUUGAUUUGAGAUAAAUUCAUUCAUGGUGAGUUAAUCUUUUCAAAUCUUAUGGAAUUGGGUUUGGAUUCAACGAAUUUCAAUUUUUGGAAUAAUUUUGUUUACAACCGGAAUAACAUUACGGGAUUACAAGACAACAAAGAUGCAUCAUUAUCACAGCCACAAAGAGUAAACACCGAUUACAAUUAUGUAAUUUAUUCACAUUUAAAAGACAACGUUGGUUAAUUAUUCUCUCGACAAUCUAAUUUAAUGGGAUGAUUGAUCAUUCAGAGGGAUUCAGAGAGUGAAACAAUUUAAAGAAGGAAAGUUUAAUGACGAUGAUUGAUCAAUAAUGAUGAUAAAUUGUGGAAAAUGAAACAGCAAAAUGUUGAAUAUUAUGGAAACAAUAACGUGUUAACAACAUUGUAUCAACAUUUUCCACAUCAAUGCUCCUUUUUUAAUUGUCAUAAUCCAAGACAAUGAAUUGAAUUCAAAUCGAUGCCAAAUAAUCAACAACAACGACAAUCAUAAAAUUCAUUAUUUUUCAUCUCUUAAAGAUUAACACGAGAUUAUCUCGGGACAUAGGAUUAUAAUGGAGAGAGUCAAGGAGCAAAAAAUGGAUAAAAAUAAAGAGGCGACUAAUGUACUAAUGAAUCGACAAAAAAAUUACAUAGAUAUAAAUGCAAACCUAAGCGAUCAACCAUGUUGCCAAGAAAAUUAAUCAAACACUUUGAUUGCAAUGGAAUCUGAACCUGAUUCUGUCACCAAAGAGAAAAAUAUUCAUUUUCAGAAUUUACAUGUUAUCAUGUAAAUAUCAUCAUUAAAAAAGGGAAGACAUUUUAAGUUCUCCUUUCUAAUAUCCCAACAUAUUUAUCAUCAUCAUGGAUAACAUUUCGUUGGAUUUAAUAAUCUGAGCAUCAUCUUCCUUUAGGGAAUUUGAUUUUUUUCUGUUCCUACAAUCUCAUCAACUUUUCCGAAUAUUUGUCUCAAAGAGAUAACUAUUAUCACGAGCAUCAUCAUCUUGAUCAUCAUUAUUAUUACAACCUCCGGGAGGAACGAACUUGGCAUUGUGUUAUCUUUUCCCUUUCUUUUUCCCUCUCAUCUGUGUAAUUUUGUUCGAUUUUUUAUUCUUUUCUCUCAUAAGUGUUCGUUCGUCUGGUGUUCGUUGUGUUCCUUUUACUUCCGUAACAUUAGCUGUCUCGAGGGCGAACAAUUCGCUCUCUCUCUCUCUCUCUCUCUCUCUCUCUCUCUCUCUCUCUCUUCUUUCUUUCUUUCUUUCUUUCUUUCUCUUUCUCUGCCAAAGGCUUACAUUUGCUUCAUCAGCUUGGCUCAUGAUGAACAAUCAGUCUGAUGAAUUUGCUUUUCUCUCUCGUUUUCUCCUUCUAAUUUCAAUCAAUUUUUUUUCUCUCUCGAAGAAAUUAAUUUUCUCUGAUAGCUGAUUACCUUUCACUCUCACUUUCUCUCUCAAAGAUGAUGAGAUGACAAUUCUUGGAUUGAGACUGAUAC